Molecule: non-coding RNA, 73 nt
Organism: Araneus ventricosus
Lineage: Eukaryota; Metazoa; Arthropoda; Arachnida; Araneae; Araneidae
Source: the annotation of a GenBank genome assembly
AACAUCCAUAGCUCAGUGGUUAGCACUGUGUCUUGUAAACCAGGGUCGUGAGUUCAAUUCCUCACUGGUGUUA